GUGGGGAAUAUUGGACAAUGGACGCAAGUCUGAUCCAGCCAUGCCGCGUGAGUGAUGAAGGCCUUCGGGUUGUAAAGCUCUUUAGCCGAUGAUUAUAAUGACUGUAGUCGGAAAAUAAGCCCCGGCUAACUUCGUGCCAGCAGCCGCGGUAAUACGAAGGGGGCGAGCGUUAUUCGGAAUCACUGGGCGUAAAGCGUGCGUAGGCGGUUUUGUAAGUUGGGAGUGAAAGCCCAGUGCUCAACCCUGGAAUUGCUCUCAAAACUACAAGACUUGAAUUCGGGAGAGGAUAGCGGAAUUGUCAGUGUAGCAGUGAAAUGCGUAGAUAUUGACAGGAACACCAGUGGCGUAAGCGGCUAUCUGGACCGACAUUGACGCUGAGGCACGAAAGCGUGGGGAUCAAACAGGAUUAGAUACCCUUGUAGUCC
RNAcentral lists this ribosomal RNA (425 nucleotides) under uncultured bacterium. RNAcentral describes it as "partial 16S ribosomal RNA". It matches the Rfam family "Bacterial small subunit ribosomal RNA", at positions 354 to 796 of the family's 1533-position model. The record is from RNAcentral.